UACGUAGGAUGCAAGCGUUGUCCGGAUUUACUGGGCGUAAAGCGCGCGCAGGCGGUCCAAUAAGUAUGGUGUGAAAUCUCCUUGCUCAACGGGGAGGGUGCGUUGUAGACUGUAGGACUUGAGGUCGGUAGAGGGGGGUGGAAUUGCUGGUGUAGCGGUGAAAUGCGUAGAGAUCAGCAGGAACACCCGUGGCGAAGGCGGCCCCCUGGGCCGAUCCUGACGCUGAGGCGCGAAGGCUAGGGGAGCGACCCGG
This 253-nucleotide ribosomal RNA is filed under the name uncultured bacterium. RNAcentral describes it as "partial 16S ribosomal RNA". It matches the Rfam family "Bacterial small subunit ribosomal RNA", at positions 524 to 776 of the family's 1533-position model. The record is from RNAcentral.